Molecule: small RNA, 119 nt
Filed under: Chryseobacterium sp. FH1
Lineage: Bacteria; Pseudomonadati; Bacteroidota; Flavobacteriia; Flavobacteriales; Weeksellaceae
Description: Flavo-1 RNA
Rfam family: Flavo-1 RNA
Source: Rfam by way of RNAcentral
ACUUUGCGAAGCGCGUGAGCGAUGGUAACGGUUAUCCUUUUUGUUUUUUGAACCAAUCUUUCUACCGUUUUACAAAAUUUCUAAAAACAAAAAGAUAUUAGUGGACAGCGCGACCCGAG